CUCGUUGUCAAACAGUUUGUUAGUUUGUCUAUUCUCCACGCUAAAUAAUGCAGACACACAGAUUUACGGUUAACGAAAAAUGGAACAAAACGUCAUACUAUGGAAACAAGGAAACUAUGCCAACAGGAAGAAGACUACACUAUUAUUUAACAUCGCACGCAACUAGUUGCCCGCCAAAUUCAAAUUUACUUUUUAGUGCAAUUAAUUUUGACGUUUAAUUAUAAGACGUAAACUCAAUGAUUAUUUUCUCAUCUUUUAUUAAAACGAAGGUUCAGGGAAGUAAAGAACAAGAGGUUGGCAAUAUCGCGGGUCGUUCUCUAUAAGACGGAUUCGGGUAUCGGUAGCGGACCAAGAAUAGCGAAUUUAUCCGUCCCGUGGCCGAGCGCUGUCUUACCACCGACCGCUCCCUCCGCUUGUAGCCACUUACGUUAUUUCAUGAGUGAUCUUUCGUACGGUGACGCGCACGGAUUGCGAUUAGUUCUUCGUAUAUGGGGGCAAGAAACAGUGGACGCUUCUUUCAGCGUCUUGAGUUGGGCCUAGUGAAUCCAAGUGAAGUGAUAUCGCCAAGUGGAAGAUCCGGAACAUUGUCCAAGAGGGAGUGAAGGGAAAGAAGGGAAGAGAAGAGACAAGAAAAAAAAGAGAGACAGAGAUAAAAAGAAAGAGAGAGAGA
Polistes dominula (European paper wasp) is the source of this 670-nucleotide long non-coding RNA. The record is from RefSeq and is a predicted model, not a curated record. Lineage: Eukaryota; Metazoa; Arthropoda; Insecta; Hymenoptera; Vespidae.